RNAcentral lists this ribosomal RNA (247 nucleotides) under uncultured bacterium. RNAcentral describes it as "partial 16S ribosomal RNA". It matches the Rfam family "Bacterial small subunit ribosomal RNA", at positions 107 to 353 of the family's 1533-position model. The record is from RNAcentral.
UGAGUAACGCGUGGGUAACCUGCCUUAUACAGGGGAUAACAGUCAGAAAUGGCUGCUAAUACCGCAUAAGCGCACAGAGCUGCAUGGCUCAGUAUGAAAAACUCCGGUGGUAUAAGAUGGACCCGCGUUGGAUUAGCUAGUUGGUGGGUAACGGCCCACCAAGGCGACGAUCCAUAGCCGGCCUGAGAGGGUGAACGGCCACCAUUGGGACUGAGACACGGCCCAGACUCCUACGGGAGGCAGCAUG